RNAcentral lists this ribosomal RNA (372 nucleotides) under Sudaria sp. 1 LP-2022a. RNAcentral's name for it is "partial large subunit ribosomal RNA". It matches the Rfam family "Bacterial large subunit ribosomal RNA", at positions 1833 to 2600 of the family's 2925-position model. Lineage: Eukaryota; Metazoa; Arthropoda; Arachnida; Opiliones; Assamiidae. The record is from RNAcentral.
GUUAUUUGAGAUAUGAAUAAUUUUGCCUGCUCAAUGUUAAAUAGCCGCAGGUUUAUCUGUGCAAAGGUAGCAUAAUCAAUUGUCUUUUAAUUGGAGGCUAGAAUGAAGGGUAAAACUGGGCACUAGGUUUUAUAAUUUGAAGUUUAGUUAACUGUAAAAACGCAGUUGUCAAUCUUUGGGACGAGAAGACCCUAGAAGCUUAUGGCGUCUUUUAGUUGGGGUGACUGGGGGAGAAACAUAACUCUAUUAAGUUACUCUAGGGAUAACAGCGUUAUUAAGGCUUGAAGUUCUAAUUGAAGCCUUAAAUUGCGACCUCGAUGUUGAAUUAAAGGGUGAAGUAGCUUUAGUCUGUUCGACUAUUAAAUAUUUACA